GUAGAAGAUGUCUACCAUCUGGAUUAGUCCAUCACCGACCAGUCGAGGUAACUUGACAAAUAAAAGGAAAUUACAAAGAAAGAGGACACUUCUUUGUGGACAAACUCGACCUACAGGUAAUGAUAAUUCAGCUUGAGAAAUCCCUCUUAAAUGUGUGAUUCUCAUGGAAAAUCUGCCUCAUGUUUUCAGGUCUUUACGAAAGUCCUUUUGGGAGCAGGAAUGACUCCAAGUCGCCCUCUGGUGGACGAAAGUGGAUUCACAUCCUGUGAAGGCAAGUAAACAUAUUACACAAGUUUGCGUAAGUUUUAGUUUAACAUUAUGUGAACAUGGACAAAAGGUCCUUAUUUGGGAGAAGAUCUGAGUGUUCUGGUUCCUGUCUAACAAUAGGAAACCAGGCUGAGCUGCUGCUGGCUGCCCUCCACAGGAUGUGGCCUGGCUGGGCAGAAGCCAAACCUGCUCUCCAGCUUCAGAGCCACACAGCUAAUGUUAUGAAAGCCACAGCCACACAAACACAGCUUUGUUCCCCACCAAAAUCCUAGAAGUAGCUUUGUUACCAUGAGUUAUGACCCUGUAGCUAUUAAGCACGCUUUGAUUUGCUAUUGUUGUCGUCUAAUUCAAGGUCACUCUCGAGCAAAAGAAGUAGGUAAUUUGGUGUAGAGUAGAGGGGGAUGAAAACAGUUGGAGUUAGCCGUCAUUCUUCCAUUAAAAAUAGAUGUGGGUUGCCUCUACAGUGAUGUUUUAAUGGACAGAACCCUAAUAAACCUUUAACACCCAUUCACAAAGUCAAUGAACCACCUUGAAAAGCAACAUUGUUUGACUUGAAAGUUAUGUAACCUCGGUGAAGAUUACAGCUCCGAAGGGGAAAAACAUUUUUCUCUCCCUAAAGACACUGAAAGC
Molecule: long non-coding RNA, 897 nt
Filed under: Xyrichtys novacula (pearly razorfish)
Lineage: Eukaryota; Metazoa; Chordata; Actinopteri; Labriformes; Labridae
Source: RNAcentral